CGAAUUUAACCAGUGUUUGUUUCCACUCAAGUUCAUGUCAACAGAAAAUAACAGAGCUGAGGGGUUUUACCUAUGUUUUCUAGCUGAAGUUGGCCUUUACUCUGUGGUUCCAAAAUGGCCAAAUUUAAAAACUAAUGCAAGUUUGUGAAUAAUGCAGGAAUCCACGGUGUGAAUUGAGGGUCCAUCGAUAGUGCUGUAACAACUAGUGUAAAGCCAGAGUCCACUGACAAUGCAGUGACCCCCAAUGUCAAGCCAGAAUCACCUGAGAAGAUCCAGUAAGUACUUUGUUCAUUAACUGAAAGUUUUCUGGUGAUCUAAAAAUUCGAAAGUUGUGUUUGAUGUUUAUCUUUAGAUAUAUGCUUAUUUGAAGUUUUUUAGAAGAUUUAAUAGGAAAGUCGUCUUUUAAUGUUUCAUUUUCCUAGUGAAUAGUCUGCUUUAACAUUUGAAUCUCUUUCACGUUCCCAUUUCAUAUGUGCCUAUGUUAUGAGCUUCAAUAUCUAGUAACAUUUUUUUAAGAACCUUCAUACAGGCUUUUAACAGCUACCAUUUCUUUUAAAAACAAAUGCUUUUGGUUAUAUCUAACCAAGUGAGGGCCUUUAUGAUUUUAAAGCCUGGGCAAAGAAACAUGUUUUACAUUUGCAUGCUUGAUAUGUUGCUUCACGAUGAGUUUUGUGGAGAUAAUCACUACUCAGAACUUAAUUUCAUGAAAUGUCAUUCUCAGACGUGCGAAUUAAUUUGUUGUCAUCAUGUUGUGUUAAUAUCAACAACUUAAUCAAAUCCCCCUUUCUUUUCCUGGAGACCUUCAAAAUUCAAACAUUGUUUGAUUAUAUUAAGUUAGAAGAUAAACUGUCACUGAUGAUUCUUGUAAUUGUAUAUCUCUGUUUGGUGUUAAACCAGCUAAAAACAUUGUAAUUUGUAUAAAUGUUCUUAUUAUACAGAAUCUGCUACUCUGGUUGGUGGUUCUUUGAUUUUCUUCAACCUGAUCAAUGCGCUGAGGAGUCUGCAACUGUAUGAGAACAACUAGGGUGUUUUGAUUUGUUUAUUCAGGAUACAAAGUGCAACUAAUGAUUCUGCGUGUUAUGUAUUAUUUUGAGACUCUUAAACUGUGCGAAGCUCUUAUUCUUAUUUGAAAUAUUCUAAUUUUCUUCAUUUCAUUAAAUGUUCUUGACUUGAUGGUUAAUAGGUUUUCAGUGGACCUGACCAUUGGGCCAAUGAAUUUGGUGCUGAAAGAUUGCGACAAGAGUCUGUCGAUGAUCAAUGGGUCAAUGAAUUCUCAAAGUUGCAUGUUGAUGACUGGGCAGAAGAAUUUGGUCGUCAAGUUGGUGAGGGGGCUUUGGGAGAUAGUUGGUCUGAUAACUGGGCAAAUUCAUAUGAUGAGUAAGUCUAGUAGCCUUGAAGAAGUUCACUUUAUAACCUCUCUUAAUUCUACAUGAAUGUUUUGGAUGUGAAAACUUGUAGGUUCCUCAGCGGUCGGACGCUUCAAGGGGUGUCUUUGCAUUUUCUGAUAUGAAUCCAUAUGUUGGUCAUCAAAAUCCUUUAAAAGAAGGUCAAGAGCUAUUGAGGAAAGGACUUUUGAGUGAAGCAGUGCUUGCCCUAGAGGCUGAAAUUAUGAAAAAUCCUGAGAAUGCUGAAGGUUGGAGAUUGCUAGGAAUAACCCAUGCUGAAAAUGAUGAUGACCAGAAGGUAAUCCACUUUGCUCUAGUUUGUCAGAGUUGGAUAGUUCGUGUGUAUUCUUACACCAAAAGACAUUGUUUUUGUGUUCUUUAAUACUACAAGAAUUUCUAUUAAGAGAUGUGACUGCUUGUCUAGCUCAGCCAUCUGUUCAGCAUCUUUGGUUAUGAUUCUUUGCCUGGAAAGGUUGACUAUUUACCUUUCUAUUCCACCUAGAUCUAAAUCAUUUUUAAUCUUGUCUAAUGCCCUGUGAAAAUAAGAGAGCUAAGGGGUUUUACCUAUGUUUUCUAGCUGAAGUUGGCCUUUACUCUGUGGUUCCAAAAUGGCCAAAUUUAAAAACUAAUGCAAGUUUGUGAAUAGUGCAGGAAUCCACGGUGUGAAUUGAGGGUCCAUCGAUAGUGCUGUAACAACUAGUGUAAAGCCAGAGUCCACUGGCAAUGCAGUGGCCCCCAAUGUCAAGCCAGAAUCACCUGGGAAGAUCCAG
RNAcentral lists this long non-coding RNA (2155 nucleotides) under Gossypium barbadense (sea-island cotton). RNAcentral's name for it is "long non-coding RNA (GBAR_LNC023375)". The record is from RNAcentral. Lineage: Eukaryota; Viridiplantae; Streptophyta; Magnoliopsida; Malvales; Malvaceae.